RNAcentral lists this unclassified non-coding RNA (5162 nucleotides) under Manduca sexta (tobacco hornworm). RNAcentral describes it as "uncharacterized LOC115445104, transcript variant X4". Lineage: Eukaryota; Metazoa; Arthropoda; Insecta; Lepidoptera; Sphingidae. The record is from RNAcentral.
CGUUUUCGUGAAAAUAUGCAAAUUGUUUAUAACCUAAAUGAUUGUGUACAAGUAAUGGAUGAACAGGAGAAAAAGCCCCAGAGGACUACUGCUAACCCUCAAACAGAACGAUGGGUUCUCCUUGAUUCUAAGUCUAAUCCUGGUCGCAAAUAUUAUUAUAACCCCUUAACAAAACAAACAUUAUGGCAUUACACUGAUGAAGAGAUAAACAAGAAAAAAAAGAAGAUAAAUGAUGGUAGUGAUCAGAUAAACAUUGCUAAAACUGCAACACAAUUUGACUUGUUAAAAAACAAUCAAACAUGUACUAAUGAAACCAGAGUAAUUAAUAGCAUGUAUCCCAUUACCCCUUUACCAUGGAAUUUGGCUAAUGUUCAGGCUCCCAUGCCAUUUAUUCAACCUACUACAAUACCUUUGAUUCAGCAAAAUCUACCCGCUGCUCUCAUAAAUAGUCAAUUUCUUGGUAAUCAAAUCAUAAGUCAGCCUACUCAAGCAGCACUUAUCAACUUACAAUCUGGCUCUCCAACAACUAUCAAUCAGAUGCAAAAUAUAACAAGAUUUGAACAGAAUUUUGAUAUUAACACAUAUCAAACAAAUAAACCCAAAAUAAAAUUUAAUAAAUGUGCCACUAAUCGUAGAAAGGAGUAUAAAUCUGAUCUGAGGAAUAAAUUGGAAAAAAAAAAUCACGCAAGACAUCAUAUUUAUAAAAAAAGAUAUAACAAAGAAGAAGUACAAGGAAAUGAAUCCUGGGAUGAAGAAACAGUGAAGAAUAUUUUGUUGUACCUAAAAUGUUAUAUUUCACCAAGCAAAGAACAAAACAUGUGGUACAUUGUACCUGAAACAAAUGUAAUAUUAAAACAUUCUCGAUUACUAACUCUAAUGACUGGAUUAGACUGCACAUGUCAUUUAAAAAUACCACUACUUGUGAGAAUGAAACUAAAACCUAUUGAAAAAAAACCUGGUAAUGAAGCAAUCAGUCGGUUAAUUCGUUUUUAUUGCACCGAAAAAGAGUCAGAUAUACACGCGGAAAAUACUGGUGACAACUUUUCAAAUAUAUUGAAUACCUGCCAUAACCUAAUAGACAACAAUUACCAUGUGGUACUAUUAUGUGAUAAUGAUAAAUCUUUCAUAGAAUUUAAGAAAAAAAUAAAUACUCCGGUAUUUACGGUUGAUAAAUUCUUAGAACUUCAGAGUCAAGGAAGACUCAUUCCACGCAAUCGGUUCACGUCAUCGGAGACUAUUACUAAAGAACCCUUUAGUAAUAAUGAACAAAACAAUAAAAAGACCAGUGAUUCUAUAAUUUCGGAGCAACCGGGUCUUAUAAAUAUUCAAAGUGUUCCAAUAUCUUGUGAUAAUGGCGAUUCAAGUACAUCCUCCAAAAGAAGAUUAAUAAAACUAAAGGCAUGUGAAGAAAUCCCCACUACUAGUCACUCCUCAAAGAGGAAAAGAUGGAGUGCGUUAAGAAAUAAAUGCCAAGAAUCAAGCUCUGCAAUAUUGCAACCCGUUUCUAAUAAUAAAGAUGCUGAUAGCAAUAUCCUUGAAAAUGUUCAAAAUACAUUAUCACAAACAGAAGUUGAUGAAAUUGAUAGUUCCAAAGUAGAAUUGCCUAAACAAAAAAAUGAACAUUGUGAAGUCCUAUCAACUAAUGAGACAAUUACCACUGUGGUUGAUGGAGUUUCUACAAGCAAUAUUACCCAUGAAAAUAUAUAUUCUGAUUAUGAAGACAAAUAUAAACCCCCGAGCAUUAAAAAAAUCCUGCAGACAAUGAUAAAUGUGUUGUUAAAAGUUUUAAACCAAAAUCCAAUAGAAAUUGAGAAGGAAAUGUCACAGCUACAGCGAUUACGUGAAGCCGUAUUAGACAUAAUUAAAAAUUUUAGUGAACAUUGGAUGAUUGUCGAUGCAGCUAACAAAUUAUCAAUGACAAUUACUCAAUACAUUAAAGGUAAUGUAGAAAUGGAUCAAAAAUUCCGUGAUGAUAUGAAUAGUUAUGGUGUAAAUUUACUUAAAUCACUUGAGGAAAAAUGUUGCUGUCCUGAGUACAUACAGCAUACAGUAAAAUUACUGGAGAAUAGUUGUGAUGACCGCAAAUCUAGUGAGGAUUGUUGCCACAUUACUUUAACUAGUGUAGUUAAAGACCAAGGUCAGGAAGUUACUACAGACAAUUACAUGAAAGGUGGAUCGGAUCCUAAAGUUUUAAGUGAAACAAUAAAACCCAAUGUUGAAAUUGUGUCAGCUGAAGAGAGUUCUAGUGGCAUUGAAAAAGGCAAUGACAAUAAUUGUCGUUUAAAUAAAAGUCAGUUGAAAGAGAACACUAAUCAAGAAGACUUAUUCAAAGCUCUUAAAUUACGGAAAAUAGAAAACGAUCUAACAGAAAAUGAUGAUGUUUCUGAUAUUUGCAUUGACAACGAAAAAACAGAAAGUAGAAAUAGUGAAAGAAACAAUACACGCCAGAACAAUGUCAAUGAAAAUGUUUGCAACGAGGUAUUCCAAGACAAAGCUGAGUCCAUGGAGACAGAAUGUAAAAAUAUUAAAUUGGGUGAGGAAAUUGGAGAGUUCGUAGAACUGUCUGAUGAAGGUGAAUCACGCCGAUUUAGAACAAACAAUAAAAGUAAAGGACAGUUCAAAUAUUUUAUUGGAAUGUUUGUAAAAGAAGUUAGAGAUGCCCUGUUAGUUUGUGCUGAGAACUUUCAAAUUUGUACAACAGAGCAAAAUGUCAACAAUGAUUUUAGUAGAAAAUUUGGACAAGUGCACACACACCUGCUUAAUAUGCAGCGGUCAUUAGAGAGCAUACUUCAACGCGACACCGGCGAUAUCAAUAACAAUUUCAAAAGUUUGCUAACUAGGGCUGGCGUCGAUAUUGAGUUCGAUCAGAAUGUGUGUGGUGAAUAUCGGGAAGUAGUACAAGAGUGCAAAAAUCAGGUGGAUGGAUUUUUAAAGUUAUUGGAAGAAAAGUUAUUCGAUCAAAGUUGUGAUGACCAUUUCCCAAGUCCCCAGUAUAUAUAGGUUAGAAAUAAUGUCAGUUAUACUCAUUUUGUCCUGUUGUGCUUAUUUGCACAAACUUGCACAGACCGCAUAAGAGUUGAGAGAAAUAUAUGGAGAGCAGAAAGUUCAAUAUCACGACGCACAGCGGAACUGCCUAGAUCGCCGCCCUAGCCGCAUUCUUGGGACAACAUCUACACUUAUAAAGAAGAGCGAAGAUAUGACGUAUAGACUUUACAGUGUACACAAACCAAUUAAUCUUAAUCGAACCGCGUGACAUAGUGGCAGCAAUGAUUGGGCUGCUUCAACGAUGUGAUAGCAUAAUAUAAUUAACGACCUGUAAUGAACAUAACAAGUUGCUUAGCCAAUGUCAGGUGUACAUUACAACUGAAUGAACGUUUGCUGAAAGGAAAUAAGAAAUUUGUGUUAUUCCAUUAAAACAUAUAAGCCCGCUAUGUGCUUAGAUAGUGCCUCGUACCUAUAUGUUUAAACAUUGACCUGCGUGGCUAUAAAUGGAAAACUUGAACGCACUUUUUUAAAUGAAUAGUUACAGACCUCAGACACUUUCGAGACAUAGCAGAAAGAUUAAAUUGCAUAACUUUACUACAGACAGUAAUUAGAUCAACUACAUAUAAUGCCAUUAUACUUUACAUGAAUUCUAGCUAUUCUUCCUUUAUUUAUGACUUGUCCAGGUCGUAAGAUAUAUGAUUCACAUAUUGGAUUCAAAUUGUUGUAAAUACAAUACAAUACAAAUGGAAAUCCAUCUAACGUGGUUUUUUAUUAAAUAGGUACAGUCAGUCACAAAAGUAGCUGAGUAAAUUCAAAAUUUUAAACGGCAUUUUAACUUUUGUGUCCUUAUCAACAAUUAUUUUUUUUCUUUAGUAAACUUCAAAUGGUUGGCUUUAUUUGAGGUAAAUAAAAUAGAAUAUUUCGAUUAAAUUUAAUAUGUAGAAGCCUUUUGAAGUUUUCUAAUUGUUCAGCUACUUUUGUGGCUGACUGUACAUAAAUUUACAUAGUAUCACGCCUUUUUACCUUGUCAGUGAUAGGCACAGGUGUAACCCACCAACAUUUCGACAGCUUUGUUCGGUUCCAUGUAAUAGGGGGGAACUUGUUACACAUUUACCGGACAGAAUUCCAGACAUUCCGGGCUGUUACUGAGUAGAAAAACUUAAUAUUUGCCCGAUCCGGGAUUUAAACCUGAGAACUCAAUGCAGUAAUUAUAUAGCGCACGAAAUACAACUAUGCCAUCGAAGCAGUGAUAUCAAUUUAAGUAAUAGAAAGAUACAAAUUAAUACGUUUUUAUUCAACUAGAAACUAAUAACUACAAUAAAAAAUAAGAUAUAGGUAGUGUAUAUAAUUUUAUACAUAUUUAAGAUAUGAUAAUGUACACACAGCAUCUAUCAUGUAUAUUAAUGUACAUUAUAUCACGGUAUGUAUAGCUUUACAUUAUCCUAAGGUAUCUUACACGCAGCAGUUAAUGUUAUGUAUCUUUUUCCUUCAUUCAAUAUACACCCAAGGUGUUGUUUUGCAUCCCCGCCAUGUUUGAAGAGUCCAUUGUAAUGGGUACACAUAAUCAUCUAAUAAUACAAUUUAAGUCCUAUCUUCAACGGGAAUCCGAAAUUAACUCCUACGUAGAUGUCUGAAUAGAACAUGUACGUUGGGGUUAAUCGAGGUUUAUCGAGAUGUAAAUGUAUAUAAUCGUACCGAUCUGUAUUUUAAUGCCUCAUUUCGACUAUAGGUUAAUAAUUCGUUAAUUGCACGAAUAUUACUAUAAAUAAUUAUGAGCAAUGAAUACGCCGUAAUUAGCUGUUUACACACUCGUAUUCGUGACUGUUCGCCUAUACUAUGCAUGUAUCUAAAUCAGGUGAAAGAUACGAACAUGUAAAAAUAUACAGGAUGAUUUUGACAUUGCGUUACUAAAUGAAACGAUACUUGCAGUAUUGAAAAUUACACUUACGUUAAGUUUCUAGAACCGUAGAUGUAAAAUAAAAAAGUAUAGAUGUCGAACAAAAUAGAAAUUAAUGAAAAGUAAUUUUACGCGCCCUAAUGCCACUAUUACUACUCUAGGGGUAUUCAUCGCUGCGGAAAAAUCACAUUUUCAGUCAAAAAUUACCCACGCACACACCAAUUUCGCACUAAUCUAGAAAAUGCUAAAAAAAUCAGAAAAGUAAAACUGGAAUUUUUGG